This 410-nucleotide ribosomal RNA is filed under the name uncultured bacterium. RNAcentral's name for it is "bacterial SSU rRNA". It matches the Rfam family "Bacterial small subunit ribosomal RNA", at positions 370 to 772 of the family's 1533-position model. The record is from RNAcentral.
AAUGGGGGCAACCCUGAUCCAGCCAUGCCGCGUGAGUGAAGAAGGCCUUCGGGUUGUAAAGCUCUUUCAGCCGGGAAGAAAGCGCACUCUCUAACAUAGGGUGUGGAUGACGGUACCGGAAGAAGAAGCACCGGCUAACUACGUGCCAGCAGCCGCGGUAAUACGUAGGGUGCGAGCGGUAAUCGGAAUUACUGGGCGUAAAGGGUGCGCAGGCGGUUUUGUCAGACAGAUGUGAAAUCCCCGGGCUUAACCUGGGAACUGCGUUUGUGACUGCAAGGCUAGAGUACGGCAGAGGGGGGUGGAAUUCCGCGUGUAGCAGUGAAAUGCGUAGAUAUGCGGAGGAACACCGAUGGCGAAGGCAACCCCCUGGGCCUGUACUGACGCUCAUGCACGAAAGCGUGGGGAGCAAA